AAACGCCAUUUGCAGCAAACUUGUGUCGUCUGCAACAGAUGCUUUUUUCAAACCGCAAAAUGAAGACAUUUGAACCGUUCAGCGCGGUAUUGAUUAAGACUUCUGGAGUUUUGUUGCGGUGGAGUUUAUGUUUACGAAAUCAGGCGUUAUAGAAGAAACUGAAUACACGCUAUGGAGGCUCAGGCAUGGAGGAGGAUGCUCCCAUUCCUAGCAAGAGACCAAGGCUAUUUCAAUCCGGACCAGACAUUUUGAAGUGUAUCAUCUUUCAAAAAGAUACAGACCAGUUUACAACGAGUUCAGAAAAUGGGAGAUCGAAAGUAAAAGA
Dreissena polymorpha is the source of this 325-nucleotide long non-coding RNA. RefSeq lists it as uncharacterized. The transcript is spliced from 3 exons. NCBI's taxonomy places the organism in Eukaryota, Metazoa, Mollusca, Bivalvia, Myida, Dreissenidae. The record is from RefSeq and is a predicted model, not a curated record.